GAUGAACGCUGGCGGCGUGCCUAACACAUGCAAGUCGAGCGAUUUACUUCGGUAAAGAGCGGCGGACGGGUGAGUAACGCGUGGGUAACCUGCCCUGUACACACGGAUAACAUACCGAAAGGUAUGCUAAUACGAGAUAAUAUGCUUUUAUCGCAUGGUAGAAGUAUAAAAGCUCCGGCGGUACAGGAUGGACCCGCGUCUGAUUAGCUAGUUGGUAAGGUAACGGCUUACCAAGGCGACGAUCAGUAGCCGACCUGGGAGGGUGAUCGGCCACAGUGGAAGUGAGACACGUUCCAAACUCCUAGGGGAGGCAGCAGUGGAGAAUAUUGCACAAUGGGCGAAAGACUGAUGCAGCAACGCCGCGUGAGCGAUGAAGGCCUUCGGGUCGUAAAGCUCUGUCCUCAAGGAAGAUAAUGACGGUACUUGAGGAGGAAGCCCCGGCUAACUACGUGCCAGCCGCCGCCGUAA
RNAcentral lists this ribosomal RNA (468 nucleotides) under uncultured bacterium. RNAcentral describes it as "partial 16S ribosomal RNA". It matches the Rfam family "Bacterial small subunit ribosomal RNA", at positions 28 to 523 of the family's 1533-position model. The record is from RNAcentral.